GAUGAAGAACGUAGCAAAAUGCGAUACUUGGUGUGAAUUGCAGAAUCCCGUGAACCAUCGAGUUUUUGAACGCUAGUUGCGCCCGAAGCCUUUUGGCCGAGGGCACGUCUGCCUGGGCGUCACGCAUCGCGUCGCCCCCCACAAUCCUCCGUAAAGGGAACAUGUGUUUUGGGGGCGGAUAUUGGUCUCCCGUGCUCAUGGCGUGGUUGGCCGAAAUAGGAGUCCUUUCGAUGGACGCACGAACUAGUGGUGGUCGUAAAAACCCUCGUCUUUUGUUUCGUGCUGUUGCUCGCAAUGUAAACUCUUUAAAAACCCCAAUGUGUCGUCUCUUGACGACGCUUCGACCGCGACCCCAGGUCAGGCGGGACUACCCGCUGAGUUUAAGCAUAUCAAUAAGCGGAGGA
RNAcentral lists this unclassified non-coding RNA (404 nucleotides) under soil metagenome. RNAcentral describes it as "partial contains 5.8S ribosomal RNA, internal transcribed spacer 2, and large subunit ribosomal RNA". The stretch from base 1 to 122 matches the Rfam family "5.8S ribosomal RNA", at positions 35 to 154 of the family's 154-position model. The record is from RNAcentral.